UAUUUUCUCCCAUUUUGUAGGCUGUCUUUUUGUUUUGCUUCUGGUUUCCUUUGCUGUGCAAAAGCUUUUAAGUUUAAUUAGUGCCCAUUUGUUUAUUUUUGCUUUUAUUUCUAUUGCCUCAGUAGAUUGCCCUGGGAGAGUAUUGCUAAGAUUUAUAUCAGAUAAAGUUUUGCCUAUGUUUUCUUCUAAGAGGUUUAUAAUGUCUUGUCUUAUGUUUAAGUCUUUAAGCUAUUUUGAGUUUAUUUUUGUGUAUGGCAGGAGUGUUCCAACUUCAUUGAUUUGACAUGCAGCUGUCCAGCUUUCUCAACACCACUUGCUGAAGAGACUGUCUUUUCUCCAUUGUGUAUUAGUGCCUCGUUUGUCAAAGAUUGACUGUAGGCUUGUGGGUUUAUUUCUGGGCUCUUUAAUCUGUUCCAUUGGUACAUAUGUCUGUUUUUGUGCCAAUAACAUGCUGUUUUGAUUACUGUAGAUCUGUAGUAUUACCUGAAGUCUGGGAGAGUUAUU
Molecule: non-coding RNA, 504 nt
Organism: Vicugna pacos (alpaca)
Lineage: Eukaryota; Metazoa; Chordata; Mammalia; Artiodactyla; Camelidae
Source: RefSeq, a predicted model, not a curated record